Molecule: RNA transcript, 1519 nt
Organism: Camponotus floridanus (Florida carpenter ant)
Lineage: Eukaryota; Metazoa; Arthropoda; Insecta; Hymenoptera; Formicidae
Exons: 10
Source: RefSeq, a predicted model, not a curated record
CGUUUCACGUUUGAUGGAAAUAAUGAUUAUUCUGAUAUAUCCUACUACUGUAUUUUUAUUGAGACAGUCUGCAAAUUUAAUCAUUCUGGAAAUUAUGUUAAUGGAUUUGAGCGAUAAAAUUCCCUAUUUAAAAUAUAUUCUUCGUUCGGAAUACAUUCCGUAUUUAAUCACAGUUGCGAUAAUGUUGAUGGGAUGGCUGCUUGUAUCUUGGAUAUUUCACUUGAUUUGGAAGUUGCUCACUCCUUUAACAAUAAGCGCCAUUGUCAUAGCGUUGAUAUAUCCAGCAACAAGUAAAUGGUGUUUCCAACAAUUCGGAGCAAAUUUAGAAGAAAUAAUAAAUGAUUUUGUUCAUAGAUUUCAGACACCUCAAUAAUAUGACGAUUUAGAUUCUUCAAUUAACAACAUGAAUUUGUUCAUGAAAAUUAAUUGAAGCGUAUCGAAAAAUUUCAACCUCAAAUCUGACAACUUUAAAAUUUGUAAACGUACGAUCAGAAAACAAAUCACGUGUGUAAAUAUGUCUCGUGUUGGAAAAUUCUAUAUCGACCGAAAGAUACAUAGAGGAACAUUAUAAAAAUGGGAAUGCAGAGCUCGAGACGACAAGACGCAGGUGAUGACAUAAUAUCGCAAAAGUCUUUAGAUGCAGUGAGAGAACUUAUACAUUUUUUGAAGAAAAAUGCUAGAGUGGAAGGGCUAUUUCGUCGGGCAGGACGUCGUGAACUUCGACGAUAUAUCCUUAAUUCUUUAAAGAAGGGCUAUAAACCGUACUUUGAAGAGUCAAACAAUGCGGCUUUGGAAUGCGCAGCGGCUUUACAGAUUUUUCUCAGCCAUCUAAAAAAACCGAUUAUGCCGCAGCAUGUACAAGAAUUGAUCCUCGCUGAUAAUCCAGGUGUGGAAGCACAAGUUAUCGCGCAGGAUGCUUUAGGGCUCAUUAGACAGGAUGUCGGUGGUCGUCAUGGCGAGCUUUUGAUUGAUAUUUUGGAUCUUUUGAGAUAUUUGACUUUAUCAGGACCGCCGUCUGAAUGUUCUGAAUUGCGUGGAUCUCCCUUGCCCAUCGCUCUUUUGCCAGUGUUUUUUAAUUUAUCGCCUAGUGAUUUGAUAAGAUGGAAGGAAGUAGCAGCUAGAUUCAGCGAAUUAAUUACGGAAGCCGCCACGCAACUCCAUCGGAAUGAGCAACGUGGCAUUCAUUCGGAAACUAUGUUAAAUUCCGCGACAAGUUAUGCCAAUGUAAGAAAUUUCUAUUGGAGAAGAGCAGUUAAAAGCCGAUUAAAAUUUUUUCGUUUUGUAUCAACUUUACUACAAAUUGCACUACAUGAUAGCUUCGACUUCGUUAGAAGAACCUGAGGAAUUAAUGAGAUUGCAAGAACUUUCUUUGUUAUAUCCUCUUGUUCGACUUACAGAUCAUUGUAAUGCUUGUCAUGUUGGCGAAAUGGCACGUGUUCUCAUUACACCGUUACAACAUCCGGUCGUCAGCAGAUUACAUACGAUAUUUGUUAAUCCUAAUUAAGCAGUAAUGGAACAA